AGCUUAGACAGUAAAGCGUCUGCCUGCAAUGUGGAAGACCCAGGUUUGAUCCCUGG
Molecule: transfer RNA, 56 nt
Filed under: Bos taurus (domestic cattle)
Lineage: Eukaryota; Metazoa; Chordata; Mammalia; Artiodactyla; Bovidae
Also listed under: 4 other names
Rfam family: tRNA
About the family: Transfer RNA (tRNA) molecules are approximately 80 nucleotides in length.
Source: Rfam by way of RNAcentral